AUACGUAGGGUGCAAGCGUUUAUCCGGAAUUAUUGGGCGUAAAGAGCUCGUAGGCGGCUUGUCGCGUCUGGUGUGAAAGUCCAUCGCUUAACGGUGGAUCUGCGCCGGGUACGGGCAGGCUAGAGUGCGGUAGGGGAGACUGGAAUUCCCGGUGUAACGGUGGAAUGUGUAGAUAUCGGGAAGAACACCAAUGGCGAAGGCAGGUCUCUGGGCCGUCACUGACGCUGAGGAGACGAAAGCGUGGGGAGC
Molecule: ribosomal RNA, 249 nt
Filed under: uncultured bacterium
Lineage: Bacteria
Description: partial 16S ribosomal RNA
Rfam family: Bacterial small subunit ribosomal RNA
Source: RNAcentral